AUGGGUAUGCAGGCUCUGAUGGAUGUCCGGUGCAAGAAUCUAGUCAACCCUAUAUGCGACUGGCUUGGUGAGAUUCAUGACCCCGCCUCCAGGGAAUUUGUGAUUUUGGGACGUGGAAGACUUCCGUUGGACGAGGAAUCCGUGUUCUGCACUUUGGAUUUGCCCCAUGGAGAAAUCAAAGUCCCGUAUGAGGUCAAUAAUAAGAUCGAGGAAACGUUGUUCCCCAGUUUGUUUCCUGGGUUGGAAUCCAUGCCGAACACAACUUUCCUGGCAGAUUCGCUGCAGGCCAUGACAACCCAUGGCGAGGUUUUUAAGAUGAAACUACUCAUGUACCUCAUCUCUGCUGUUUUCGCAUCGACCACUUCUCUUCGCCCAAGCAACAAAUGCUUCCCCAUCCUAGCGAAACUGAAAGAUGUGAAGAACAUGAAUUAUUGUAAGUUCAUUGCCGACUUCCUGCAUAAUGCAUUCUCAAACAAGAUGUACCAGAAGGGUUAUCGACUGCAUUUAAUGCUCAUGUACGUCGACUGUCUUGAUCUGUCCACUGUGGAUUUCACUGGGACAGGAGGCCCGUCGCCUACACACAAGUUUGUUGUUUCUGUGUGGACUUAUGAUGCUGUCAAGGCCGUGCUUGCUGUAGAUAGGGUAACUGAUACCAAAUAUGAAAACUGCAGCUGA
RNAcentral lists this ribosomal RNA (675 nucleotides) under Triticum aestivum (bread wheat). Its description in RNAcentral is "partial small subunit ribosomal RNA". Lineage: Eukaryota; Viridiplantae; Streptophyta; Magnoliopsida; Poales; Poaceae. The record is from RNAcentral.